GCCACCGUGCCUGACCUAGAGUCUCACAUUUUUGAAGUUGAAGACAAACAUUUCAAUCAUGGAUUGGAGACCCAGGAUAUAAACUGGAUAGUCAGAAGUCUAAGCAUGGCUCCUAUCCUCAAGAAGCUUACAGUCCGAGAAAUAAGAUGACUAGUGUGAAUUGCCAAGAAUGAUUAUAAGAGGUGCAGAUUACUCACACCUGAAAACAAGAGUGAAGAAGUCUGUUCAAAAGGGACUGAGGAACUUGGCGACAGACCAUUAUAACAGCCUAAGUGAGUGUCAGUAAAGCCCUGCUCUGGGGAAUACACAGGAAAGAAUAAACAGGAUAAAUUACUUAAAAGAAGAAUCAAGAAGACUUGGCAAAUGUUCGGCUAUACAAAUAGUGGAAAAGUGGGAGAUGAGAUUUUGAGUUCAAACACUGGGAGAAUUGAGCGUAGUCAGUCCUACGUGGAAUAUCAAGAAUAUUUAGUAAGGUGAUCGCUUCAAUUUUGGGUAUCUGAAGUUUAUCAGUAAGACAUUGGAUGGAACUGGAAAAACCAAACUUGGACAUCACCAGCUCUCAGGUGGUAUUAAAAGUCACAGGAAAGAGAGACGAUUCCAUGGCAGACUACACAGAAGAGAGAGAAGGCACACACCAAGACCUGGGAAAGCCCAUCCCCUGAAGCUUACACUAUGAGGUGACACGUCUCCAGGUAUGCGCCAGAAGAAUCCCCCAUCCCCUCACACUCACCCCAGGUGUUCUCAGAGUGCAGAGUCUG
Molecule: long non-coding RNA, 758 nt
Organism: Propithecus coquereli (Coquerel's sifaka)
Lineage: Eukaryota; Metazoa; Chordata; Mammalia; Primates; Indriidae
Exons: 3
Source: RefSeq, a predicted model, not a curated record